Drosophila virilis is the source of this 576-nucleotide non-coding RNA. The record is from RefSeq and is a predicted model, not a curated record. Lineage: Eukaryota; Metazoa; Arthropoda; Insecta; Diptera; Drosophilidae.
CACACACACACAGACAGCAGCCGUAACUUUUGCUGAAGCUCAUCAAAAUUUGCUUCAACACGCCGCACACAGACACACACACAAAAUGGCGACAAAAGCUGAGACGCACACACACACACACAGAGCGUAAGAGUGAGUGCGAGAGAGAUGGAGCAAUGGCCGCAGUGGAGACAGCCAGAGAAAUGAGUCCCAUGUCUUUCAUUAAAACUUUCGGCAAAUUAUCGGAUCGUAGUGCGAGCUCUCCAGCCGCCCCCAGCCACGCCUCUCAUUUGUAUGAUUGUCAGUGUGUGUAACACUUUGGCGCUUGAGUAUUGUAAGGGGAAUAUACAUAUACAUAUAUAUGCGCUAUAUAAGCCAAGCAUGAGAACUUUAUAUAAAUAUUAAAGCAACGUUUUUUCUUUGAUUUCCUCGGGGAAGCCAGCUGCUAAGUAAAUGUGGAAAAAAGAAACACAGCCGCCACAAUGGACGCACAACAUUUCCCCUCAUUUUCCAGCAUCCAGUCAAAGGGGGUAGGUGGGAAAAAAAAAAUCAAAUAAAUUCGCGCAGGCGUUCUAAUUUUAGAAAAAGGACUAAAAA